AACGAACGCUGGCGGCAGGCUUAACACAUGCAAGUCGAGCGCCCCGCCAGGGGAGCGGCAGACGGGUGAGUACCGCGUGGGAACGUACCUUUUGGUUCGGAACAACUCCGGGAAACUGGAGCUAAUACCGGAUAAGCCCUAACGGGGAAAGAUUUAUCGCCGACAGAUCGGCCCGCGUCUGAUUAGCUAGUUGGUGAGGUAACGGCUCACCAAGGCGACGAUCAGUAGCUGGUCUGAGAGGAUGAUCAGCCACACUGGGACUGAGACACGGCCCAGACUCCUACGGGAGGCAGCAGUGGGGAAUAUUGGACAAUGGGCGCAAGCCUGAUCCAGCCAUGCCGCGUGAGUGAUGAAGGCCUUAGGGUUGUAAAGCUCUUUUGUCCGGGAAGAUAAUGACUGUACCGGAAGAAUAAGCCCCGGCUAACUUCGUG
This 431-nucleotide ribosomal RNA is filed under the name uncultured bacterium. RNAcentral's name for it is "partial 16S ribosomal RNA". It matches the Rfam family "Bacterial small subunit ribosomal RNA", at positions 29 to 507 of the family's 1533-position model. The record is from RNAcentral.